GAUGGAUUCCAAAGAGAGGUUGCUGAACUUUCCCAGCAGUUGGACAGGGAACGUGAACAGUGCACGCAGCUGGAGGCCAAAAAUCAGGCUUUGCAAGAAGAGCUGUCUGCCCUGCGUGGGGAGUGCGAGAACCUGGCCAUGGACAAAUGCCAGCUGCAAGAAGAGCUGGCAAAACUCCACCAUCAUUUGGAGACCAACGUGGUGGAUCGCAGCCAACUCGAACAGUGCAAAAGAGAGGUGGAAGAACGAGCAGACCAGGAAAUAAGACAAAAACUCCAAGAAGUCAAUGAGUUUUUGCAAGCACAGGCAGCCCACCAGGACACCUUAGAAGAAAUCAGAAGCAGUC
Molecule: long non-coding RNA, 346 nt
Organism: Pipra filicauda (Wire-tailed manakin)
Lineage: Eukaryota; Metazoa; Chordata; Aves; Passeriformes; Pipridae
Exons: 3
Source: RefSeq, a predicted model, not a curated record